Molecule: small nucleolar RNA, 134 nt
Organism: Chiroxiphia lanceolata (lance-tailed manakin)
Lineage: Eukaryota; Metazoa; Chordata; Aves; Passeriformes; Pipridae
Product: small nucleolar RNA SNORA17
Exons: 1
Source: RefSeq, a predicted model, not a curated record
CCUGCCCCAUCUCGUGUUGCAGGCGUGGCUGCAGUGCCACGUCUGUGUCAACCGGUGGCAGAGAGGAACAGGAGACUCCUUCCCUGGUGCUCUGACCCCCGUGAGCUCCCAGGAUUGCUCAACAACCUGACAUU